AACGGUCUAUACCUGCGGUACCUGCGGAAGGAUCAUUACCGAGUUAGGGUCUUUUGGCCCGACCUCCAACCCUUUGUUUAUUAUACCAUGUUGCUUUGGUGGGCCUGCCUUUCGGGGCUGCCGGGGGCAUCACUGCCCCUGACUCGUGCCUGCCAGGAGCCUUCUUAAAUUCAGUGUUCAACGGUGCUGUCUGAGUCCCAGUAUCAAAAUAUCAAAAACUUUUAGCAAUGGAUCUCUAGA
RNAcentral lists this unclassified non-coding RNA (240 nucleotides) under soil metagenome. Its description in RNAcentral is "partial contains 5.8S ribosomal RNA, internal transcribed spacer 2, and large subunit ribosomal RNA". The record is from RNAcentral.